RNAcentral lists this ribosomal RNA (652 nucleotides) under uncultured bacterium. RNAcentral describes it as "bacterial SSU rRNA". It matches the Rfam family "Bacterial small subunit ribosomal RNA", at positions 91 to 762 of the family's 1533-position model. The record is from RNAcentral.
GUCAGCGGCGGACGGGUGAGUAACGCGUGGGAAUGUACCCUUUGCUACGGAAUAGUCCUGGGAAACCGGGGGUAAUACCGUAUGUGCCCUUCAACUGUAAGAGGUUGGGGGGGAAAGAUUUAUCGGCAAAGGAUCAGCCCGCGUUGGAUUAGGUAGUUGGUGGGGUAAUGGCCUACCAAGCCGACGAUCCAUAGCUGGUUUGAGAGGAUGAUCAGCCACACUGGGACUGAGACACGGCCCAGACUCCUACGGGAGGCAGCAGUGGGGAAUCUUAGACAAUGGGGGCAACCCUGAUCUAGCCAUGCCGCGUGAGUGAUGAAGGCCUUAGGGUUGUAAAGCUCUUUCAGUGGGGAAGAUAAUGACGGUACCCACAGAAGAAGCCCCGGCUAACUCCGUGCCAGCAGCCGCGGUAAUACGGAGGGGGCUAGCGUUGUUCGGAAUUACUGGGCGUAAAGCGCACGUAGGCGGACUGGAAAGUUGGAGGUGAAAUCCCAGGGCUCAACCUUGGAACUGCCUUCAAAACUAUCAGUCUAGAGAUCGAGAGAGGUGAGUGGAAUUCCGAGUGUAGAGGUGAAAUUCGUAGAUAUUCGGAGGAACACCAGUGGCGAAGGCGGCUCACUGGCUCGAUACUGACGCUGAGGUGCGAAAGCGU